AAACCAACAGGGAUUGCCUCAGUAGCGGCGAGUGAAGCGGCAAGAGCUCAGAUUUGAAAUCGUGCUUUGCGGCACGAGUUGUAGAUUGCAGGUUGGAGUCUGUGUGGAAGGCGGUGUCCAAGUCCCUUGGAACAGGGCGCCCAGGAGGGUGAGAGCCCCGUGGGAUG
RNAcentral lists this ribosomal RNA (167 nucleotides) under uncultured Pichia. Its description in RNAcentral is "partial 26S ribosomal RNA". It matches the Rfam family "Eukaryotic large subunit ribosomal RNA", at positions 62 to 230 of the family's 3401-position model. Lineage: Eukaryota; Fungi; Ascomycota; Saccharomycetes; Saccharomycetales; Saccharomycetaceae. The record is from RNAcentral.